Pelobates cultripes (western spadefoot toad) is the source of this 360-nucleotide non-coding RNA. NCBI's taxonomy places the organism in Eukaryota, Metazoa, Chordata, Amphibia, Anura, Pelobatidae. The record is from the annotation of a GenBank genome assembly.
UUAAUUUCUUAUCUGGGAUACGCCAGGCACUGAUCUUCAUCUCCACUACUGACAAAGCAGGAUCAGCUGCAAACAUCUGCUGAUUGCUCUCAGCUUCUUAGUUAAUCCUUGCCCUACUGGACCUAACUUUGACAGAAAACUUCCACCUCUCCAACAUCAGUAGAAGAGGCACUGGCAGGGAGUGGUGCCCAGCAGAAUCCAGGUAAAAAGUUAGAGCUUUCUAUAAUGGCUACUGACCUUACAAUGGAAGGUGCACCAAGGAACAAGUGGCACUACAACCACUACAGCGAGCUAUGUACAUAAAGUAUUAAUAUAUUUUAUUAAACACAUCUUUUCUUACAGGACAUACCAAGGUGCUAC